GAUGAACGCUGGCGGCGUGCCUAAUACAUGCCAGUCGAGCGAACAGAUAAGGAGCUUGCUCCUUUGGCGUUAGCGGCGGACGGGUGAGUAACACGUGGAUAACCUACCUAUAAGACUGGGAUAACUUCGGGAAACCGGAGCUAAUACCGGAUAACAUAUUGAACCGCAUGGUUCAAUAGUGAAAGGCGGCUUUGCUGUCACUUAUAGAUGGAUCCGCGCCGUAUUAGCUAGUUGGUAAGGUAACGGCUUACCAAGGCAACGAUACGUAGCCGACCUGAGAGGGUGAUCGGCCACACUGGAACUGAGACACGGUCCAGACUCCUACGGGAGGCAGCAGUAGGGAAUCUUCCGCAAUGGGCGAAAGCCUGACGGAGCAACGCCGCGUGAGUGAUGAAGGUCUUCGGAUCGUAAAACUCUGUUAUCAGGGAAGAACAAAUGUGUAAGUAACUGUGCACAUCUUGACGGUACCUGAUCAGAAAGCCACGGCUAACUACGUG
Molecule: ribosomal RNA, 497 nt
Filed under: uncultured bacterium
Lineage: Bacteria
Description: partial 16S ribosomal RNA
Rfam family: Bacterial small subunit ribosomal RNA
Source: RNAcentral